AACAUCAGAUUAAUUAACAUAGGUUAUCCAUUCACUAACCUCACUUACUUUUAGUACCGUUAGGACCAAAUUCCUUUCUGCCAGCCAUAAGGAAGAACGUAUAAAUAGGACAAGAAAGGUGCAGUUACAAUCAGUGGGCCAGACCUGCAGCUGGUGUAAACUGGAACCUCUACCACUGAAGUCAAUGGAACUACAGCAAUUGACAAUCUGGCCCAGUGCCUUAUCAGGUAACACAAAAACAAUACACUCUGGAGACCUUCAAAGUUACUUAACUGGACAACAAACAGUUAAAAACAAACAGUCUUUUCCCUUAGAGCACUGAAAAGCUACAGAACUGAGACAUCAGAAUCUAGAGAUACCAAUGACUAGAUGAUAACUCCAGACAGGCAAAGUUGUAUAGAGCGGAUAAAGUCUGCAGUGAAGGAGAAAUCAAAGCAUGCUCACUUGCUGUUUGAGAUAACAACCUGCUUCGGAGAGAGGCUGAUGCUGCAAUGCCAGAAGCUUCCGCAACAGUCCACUGUGAAAAUGAGGUGCUCUUAAGAAUAACAGGUGCAGCAACAUCGUCUGGAGUGAGACUUUCUCUAAGGUCAUUAUUCAAUUAUCUGAGAUGCAUACUGCCCUUGGACUGCCUGUUACAUCUACCAGAACAUGCCAGAAGUUUAGAAGUCAGAGGAUUGCAAGUCCCCAAGGGCAAAGACUGUAUUCUUGGACAACAGGGGAUGGAUCACUCGAUAACUGCCUGUUCAUUCCCUCUGAAGCACCUGGCAUUGGUCACUGUCGGAAGACAGGAUAUUGGGGUAGAUGGACCAUUGGUCUGACCAGUAUAGCCGUUCUUAUGUUCUUUGUUUCUUCUCUGUACAAUGCCUAGCACAAAGGGCCCUGUUCCGAGACUGGGUUCUUAGGUGGUACCAUAAUACAAACAAAUAAUACACACUUGAUAAUAUCCACACCUAACUUUUCUGGUUGAUGGAAAAAUUAAACUUACCAUUUUGUUUCAUUUUAACAAUUAAAAUGGCAUUUUACCCAGGAGCUGUACCAUGGAACAUUAUCUAGGUCCGAUUCACCAUACACCUCUCUGCACCAGCAUGGCUCUCUCACUCCACUGGGGGAUCCAACCCAAAGGAUAGGAGGUGGAGGGACCAUGACUGCUGCCCUCCCACAGGAGGCUCUUUAACUCAUGUCAGGUACUCCACAAUGGUUCUGAUGGCACAGUCUCCGGAGAAGAUACAUACAAUCAAUGCUCUACUUGGACACCCAAGCCAUGCAGUGUCCCAGCCAGCACCACCCAUUUUUGGUGUCCUCUUCAGAUUCCUGAGUCACCUAGCACAAAGGAAACUGCAGCCAGUUUCUAUCACUGCCACCUCCACCUCUGACUGACCUUGUGCCACUGAGGCGUCUAACAGACCCUAUGCUCUCCGUGCUUUGCAGCUACCACAUUUCCCUUAACACAAAUUACUGCACACCUUAAGCCAGACUCUGUUCUUGGUAACCCCACUAUAGAUCUGGAAUAACUCCAUUGAAGACAACUGAAUCAUUCUAGAUUGAUACAGACAUAACAUGAGAAUUCGAUCCUUUGUUUCUUCUCAUUUUUAUUGUUAAGAGAAGACUAGAAGGUGACAAGACGUUAAGAUAACAUACCAGAAAAGAAGAGGAAAAAGGCUUUUAAAAAUUCCCUCAAUUAUGUCAAUAUCGCUUUUUUGUUAAUCUUUUCACCUUUCAUCUAAAAUCAAAUGUCACAUCCUUUCAAAAAUUUGAUCAUGUCCUCUAUUGCUGAGUGUCCUAUCGUUGCCUUCUACCUACCUACCAUACUUAUAUGACACUUAUUACCACAGUAUCUGAGCGCCUCACAAUCUUUAAUACAUGUAUCUUCCCAACACCCCUGCAUUGUAUGGAAGUACUCUUAGCCCCAUUCUACAGAUGAAAACCUAAGCAGAAACACUAUAUGACUUGUCCACAGGGUCACACAGCACAUUUGUGGCAGAACAGGAAACUGAACAUAUAUUUCCCAAACAUCAAAUGAGGGUCCUAACCACAAGACCAUUCUUCCUCAUUGCUGAGGGAUGGACUCAAUAACCUAACAGGUCUUUUUUUAUUAGCCAAGCUUGAGAAAGCUGUGUGAUCAACUAGAUGACAUUUCUAACACUGCAUCCGAUCAAUGCCAACAUUUCAGAGAACGUUCAAGCAAUCAACUAUCAGAACAUUACUGAUUUUGGGCAAAGAUUGGAAACUAAAAGGGAGAAAAUUGGAAGACUAGGUUUACACUGCAAUUGAAAGCCCGCAGCUGGGCAGUGCCAGCUGACUCAGGCUCACAAGGCUCGGGCUGCGGGGCUGUUUAAUCGCAGUGUAGAUAUCUGAGCUUGGGCUGGAGCCUGGGUUCUAGGACCCUGCAAAGUGGAAGGGUCACAGAGCUCAGGCUACAGUUGGCGCCAGAUUGUCUACACCACAAUUAAUCAGCCUCUUAGCCUGAGUCAGCAUGGUCCAUUCCCAGGUGUCUAAUUGCAGUGUAGACAUACCCUGUCAUCUGUUUAGCACAGCCGCAGCUUUAGACACCUCUUGAUUGUCUACAGAAUAAACAACUGGUUGAUGGUACCCAUUAAUGCCUUCCAGCAUAACAAUACCCCUGCUCAUCCUCCCAAUAGAUUUGAACACACUGAAUGACUUACCUCCCAGAUGAAUAAUAAUAAAAUGGGAAAAGGAAGAAUGGGGGGGGGACAUAAAGGAAUGGGGGGAAUCAAGGCACACAAAAAGCCAUGGUAGGGGAGAGGCACAACGGGGGGGCCCUGGUAUAGGAGAGGGGUGGAGAGUAGCAUUACAGGGAGUACCUGAAAUUGAGGGGGAUGGAAACAUGGCACACAGGGAGUUUGUGGGGUGCAAUGGAGGGAUGCAAGGAGCCCCUGCGGUAUGCAAUAAGUUUGGUUGACAGAAGCUGUGAGACGUGUGACCCCCCUCCACCCCCGCCAGUCUAUAACUACUGUGAUUCCAUUGUAGCAUAAAGAGCUCUUCUUGGAUUUGAGUAGAUGGUCACCUUAGCAUUAAUGCUUUUAUGAAGUGAUCCAUGUGAAUGACACAAGUUAUCUUUGUAAUUAAUUUCUGCUUUUCUUUAUCUCAGAGUAGGAAAUCUCUUUAAAACUGCCAGUGAUGAAGCAGGAACUUUCUCUUCUUGCCUCUCUAACUUGUACGACUUCAUAUCUGGGGGGAAAAAAAAAUACCCUGAAUUGUUUUCCUCCUUGAAUAAGCAUACUCUGCCUGUUCAUGCCAGGAAUGCAUUCCUAGCAACUCCACCUCUUUUAGAGGGAGUUAUGCAAUGCUAAAGAGUACAGCAGAGUUAACCCUUUAUAACCUUAUAAGCUCUGAUGUGGUCACAUCUCAAAGUAAACAAGGGUGAGAGUGAUUGGUACUUGGGUGCUGGAACAAUUUGCGUAGUUGGGGUGCAGAGAGGCAUUGAACCAAACUGUAAACCCUGUGUAUGGUGGAAACCACUCCAAGCCAGAGGGUGGAGCAGCACCCCCAGUGCCAGCACCUAUGGCAGUACUUGGAUGGAGGGCCUCUAAGGAAUACUUGGGGCUUGUCUACAUGGGGAAAUUGACCAGAAUAGCUAUUGCAGAAUAAGCUAUUCCACAACAGCUCACCAUGUGUUCUGGUGGGCAUAUUUUAUUCCCAAUUAAUCAGCGUGCUCACAAAGUGCACUAAUUAUUCCAGAAUCAAGUGAUCUGCUCCGGAAUGGAGUGGCCACAGGGAGAUCUGUUCUGGAAUAAUGAUUGUGGAAUAGCUUGUUCUGAAAUAGCUAUUCUGGUCAAUUUCCUCAUAUAGACAAGACCUUUGGUGCUGCAGAAGUGGGGGUGGCAAUUCUGAAGUCUGGCAUACUAUAUUCUCUCAAAUUAAAGUGUAGCACUAUGGUCCAUUGUGUUGCUGGAGGUACCAUUAACCAUUUUUCGAUAAGACACAAUAUCAAGAUCCUGGACCAUCUGUCUGUUGUAUAUCCUCUUGUCCUAUUGCAAAGAAGAGAGGGCUGUAAUCCCCAGGGGCCUGGCCAAAUGAUAAUUUUGAGUAAUUACAUUCUGCCUGUUUAAAAUUUCCCUUGUGGUUUCAAUUGGAUAACAUAUGCUUCAGUGCUAAACCCUUUCCACAUUCCACUUCAGGGUGGCUACAUUCAACCGUAAUGAAGUGUUCCUGCCAUAGACUUCGUAUUUCAGUUAGUUAUAUUUGUCAAUUGCUUUCAGAUCCUUCAGAGUGAAUGGUGCUACAUAAAUAAGAGUUCCUGAUUAAUUAAUGAAUGUGCAAAAAACAUCGUAGAACAGCAACGAAAUGGUGUUUGAAUGAAGAAUAGUUUCAGGUGUUUGUUUUCAUAUUUCUUUCAUACUGCAAGGAUACAAGCAAAAUCUUCUCUGUGAAUGAAUAUGCCUUUAGAACAUCAAUCACCUACCAACCAUCUAUAGAGUUAAAGUGCAGCAGCUCUUCAUCAGAGUGUGUUAUAAGAAAGAGCCUUAGAAGGAAGCAAUUAAAUUAUUAAUAAUAAAUACACUUUUAAUAUAUUGCAACCGGUGUGCAUGUAACUUGACAAACAGUCAAGACCCCGGCCCCAAAGAAUCUACAAUCUAUAACAUAUAAACCAAUAAUUAUCAGUAACAGAACAAAGGACUACAGGUUAGGAAAAUAAAUAAAAAUAUAUAUACACACAAAGGAGAAGUUGCACAAAUCCAAGCCAGCUGUUACACAAGCAAAAUCUGCAAGGCUGGGUGCCAAAGUUAGAAACCUGACUCAGAGGCCUGGGCACGCACAACUAUUAUUACAUUCCACAGGAACUGUGGGUGCUCAGCCCCUUGGGAGGUGGGGGAAGAAAUCGGGCCACUUAUUCAGGUGCCUAACUUUAGCAUCCAAGUUUGAAAGACUUGAUCUUUGUAGCAACAACUGAUUUAGAUGUAUUUAGGUGAUUUAUAGAUUUGGAUGCCAAUUUUAGACACCCAAGUUGGAAAAUUUUGGCCACGUUGUAUGCAAGUCAAUAAUACCAUGUGGAUUAAUGAAGUGCUAUGAACAGUCUAAGCAAUAAAUUUUCUGAAGAAUCAAGCAGUUGGAUCAAGUAUAAGAAUGACCAAAAAACCAGUACAAAUGGUGCUAGCUGCUGAGGUGUUGCAUAAUCUCAGCUGACGCAUCAAAAGUGAAUUACAAAUCAUAUAGACAACAUUUCCGAACAGUAUCUAUGCUGCUGAAUUCAAA
Molecule: long non-coding RNA, 5214 nt
Organism: Chrysemys picta bellii (western painted turtle)
Lineage: Eukaryota; Metazoa; Chordata; Testudines; Emydidae
Source: RefSeq, a predicted model, not a curated record